UCCUAGCCCUUCAACUCUUCACAAGAAAUUCAGAAAUUUAUGAUGAAAUCAGACACGAAAUCAAUGCAUGAGCCUAGUUGGUCUCUAACUUAAGUGAUUUGAGCAUAAGGAUCAUGUUUAGAUGGGAAAGCAUGGAAGGCAAACGGAAAGGAUAUGAGGAAGCAUGUACGAAACGGGCACUCGAGGUAAUAAGUCAUGAGAAUCAAUGGGGUGGCUUGAAUCGGAAUCAUGAAAUAAGAAAAGAGCUCACAAGUCGUUCACCAAUAACCCGUUUCAAUCAAUAUAUUAGCAAUUAUUAUGCUUACCGUAGUUUCUCGGUCGACACUAAUGAUAUGGUAAUGUUAUAUGACAGAUUGGGGGUGGUUGAAAGGCGAAAGUGAUCAAGUCUUGGAAGCGGGUCAACGAUAUGAGGAUUUAGUGAUAUUUUGUUCACUAAGUAUAUGGGUUUCCUUAUUGGGAUAAUUAGACUUAAUUAUUUGUAUUUUGGAGUUUAAGUCCAACGUUUGUUUUAGCAAUAUUCUAGUAUGUCAAUGUGGU
This is a long non-coding RNA of Helianthus annuus (common sunflower), 537 nucleotides long. RefSeq lists it as uncharacterized. The record is from RefSeq and is a predicted model, not a curated record. Lineage: Eukaryota; Viridiplantae; Streptophyta; Magnoliopsida; Asterales; Asteraceae. The transcript is spliced from 3 exons.